This 763-nucleotide long non-coding RNA is filed under the name Lonchura striata (white-rumped munia). RNAcentral's name for it is "domestica (Bengalese finch) lncRNA (ENSLSDG00000006317.1)". The record is from RNAcentral. Lineage: Eukaryota; Metazoa; Chordata; Aves; Passeriformes; Estrildidae.
GGUACAUAUUCCCCAUUUUUGGUACAAAUUCCCCAUUUUUGGGUAGAAAAUUCCGAUUUUGGGUACAAAAUUCCGAUUUUCGCUACAAAUUCCCGUUUUUUGGGUACAAAUUCCGAUUUUCGCUACAAAUUCCCAAUUUUCGGUACAAAUUCCCGGUUUUUUGGAUACAAAUUCCCGUUUUUUGUGUCCAAAUUCCCGUUUUUUUGGGUACAAAAUUCCGAUUUUCGCUACAAAUUCCCCUUUUUUUUGGGUACAAAUUCCCGAUUUUUGGGUACAAAUUCCCGAUUUUUUUGGGUACAAAUUCCCGAUUUGGAGUACAAAAUUCCGAUUUUCGCUACAAAUUCCCGAUUUUUGGGUACAAAUUCCCGUUUUUCGGUCCAAAUUCCCGGUUUUUUUGGAUCCAAAUUCCCGUUUUUUGGGUCCAAAUUCCCGUUUUUUGGGUCCAAAUUCCCGUUUUUUUGGUACAAAUUCCCAUUUUUUGGAUCCAAAUUCCCGUUUUUUGGAUCCAAAUUCCCGUUUUUUGGAUCCAAAUUCCCGUUUUUCGGGUCCAAAUUCCCAUUUUUUCGGUCCAAAUUCCCAUUUUUUGGGUCCAAAUUCCCGGUUUCCGGCGCACAUUCCCGGUUUCCGUCUCCAUUGCGGUUUUGGGCUGAAAUCCGGCGGUUUUGGUCAAAAGGCGCCCCCCAGCAGCGCCACCCGCGGCCCCCCCAGGCUGACGAUGGCGGGCGGCGGCCAGAUGACGUAAGCGGGCAGCGCUGACGUCAGC